This 468-nucleotide ribosomal RNA is filed under the name uncultured bacterium. RNAcentral describes it as "partial 16S ribosomal RNA". It matches the Rfam family "Bacterial small subunit ribosomal RNA", at positions 28 to 507 of the family's 1533-position model. The record is from RNAcentral.
GACGAACGCUGGCGGCGUGCUUAACACAUGCAAGUCGAACGGAAAGGCCCUGCUUUUGUGGGGUGCUCGAGUGGCGAACGGGUGAGUAACACGUGAGUAACCUGCCCUUGACUUUGGGAUAACUUCAGGAAACUGGGGCUAAUACCGGAUAGGAGCUCCUGCUGCAUGGUGGGGGUUGGAAAGUUUCGGCGGUUGGGGAUGUACUCGCGGCUUAUCAGCUUGUUGGUGGGGUAGUGGCUUACCAAGGCUUUGACGGGUAGCCGGCCUGAGAGGGUGACCGGCCACAUUGGGACUGAGAUAGGGCCCAGACUCCUACGGGAGGCAGCAGUAGGGAAUAUUGAAUAAGGGGCGGAAGCCUGAUGCAGAAACGCCGCGUGCGGGAUGACGGGCUUCGGGUUGGAAACCGCUUUCGCCUGGGACGAAGCGUGAGUGACGGUAAUGGGUAAAGAAGCACCGGCUAACUACGUG